Molecule: microRNA precursor, 63 nt
Filed under: Sphenodon punctatus (tuatara)
Lineage: Eukaryota; Metazoa; Chordata; Lepidosauria; Sphenodontia; Sphenodontidae
Description: Spt-Mir-221-P2a_pre stem-loop
Rfam family: mir-221 microRNA precursor family
Source: RNAcentral
ACCUGGCAUACAAUGUAGAAUUCUGUGUUCGUUAAGCAACAGCUACAUUGUCUGCUGGGUUUC